This 400-nucleotide ribosomal RNA is filed under the name uncultured bacterium. RNAcentral describes it as "bacterial SSU rRNA". It matches the Rfam family "Bacterial small subunit ribosomal RNA", at positions 356 to 773 of the family's 1533-position model. The record is from RNAcentral.
GGGGAAUAUUGCACAAUGGGGGGAACCCUGAUGCAGCGACGCCGCGUGAGUGAAGAAGUAUUUCGGUAUGUAAAGCUCUAUCAGCAGGGAAGAUAAUGACGGUACCUGACUAAGAAGCCCCGGCUAACUACGUGCCAGCAGCCGCGGUAAUACGUAGGGGGCAAGCGUUAUCCGGAUUUACUGGGUGUAAAGGGAGCGUAGGUGGUUCGGCAGGUCAGAUGUGAAAGCCCGGGGCUCAACCUCGGGACUGCAUUUGAAACUGUCGGACUAGAGUGCAGGAGAGGUAAGUGGAAUUCCUAGUGUAGCGGUGAAAUGCGUAGAUAUUAGGAGGAACACCAGUGGCGAAGGCGGCUUACUGGACUGUAACUGACACUGAGGCUCGAAAGCGUGGGGAGCAAAC